Molecule: ribosomal RNA, 353 nt
Filed under: Idiomarina baltica OS145
Lineage: Bacteria; Pseudomonadati; Pseudomonadota; Gammaproteobacteria; Alteromonadales; Idiomarinaceae
Description: bacterial LSU rRNA
Rfam family: Bacterial large subunit ribosomal RNA
Source: RNAcentral
UUUAAAGUGGUACGCGAGCUGGGUUUAGAACGUCGUGAGACAGUUCGGUCCCUAUCUGCCGUGGGCGUUUGAGAGUUGAGAGGAGCUGCUCCUAGUACGAGAGGACCGGAGUGGACGAACCUCUGGUGUUCCGGUUGUCACGCCAGUGGCACUGCCGGGUAGCUAAGUUCGGAAUCGAUAACCGCUGAAAGCAUCUAAGCGGGAAGCGAGCCUCGAGAUAAGCUCUCACUAGCACAUUAAGUGCUCUGAAGGGUCGUUGCAGACGACGACGUUGAUAGGCGGGGUGUGGAAGCGUUGUAAGGCGUUGAGCUAACCCGUACUAAUUGCCCGUGAGACUUAACCAUACAACACCC